UGGGGAAUCUUGCACAAUGGGGGCAACCCUGAUGCAGCGACGCCGCGUGAGCGAUGAAGCCCUUCGGGGCGUAAAGCUCUUUCGACCGGAACGAUAAUGACGGUACCGGGAGAAGAAGCUGCGGCUAACUACGUGCCAGCAGCCGCGGUAAUACGUAGGCAGCAAGCGUUGUUCGGAGUUACUGGGCGCAAAGAGUGCGUAGGCGGUUUUCUAAGUUCGGUGUGAAAUCUCCCGGCUUAACUGGGAGGGUGCGCCGAAGACCGGGAAGCUGGAGUGUGGGAAAGGCAGGCGGAAUUCCUGGUGUAGCGGUGAAAUGCGUAGAUAUCAGGAGGAACACCGGCGGUGUAGACGGCUUGCUAGACCAUAACUGACGCUGAGGCACGAAAGCGUGGGUAGCAAACA
RNAcentral lists this ribosomal RNA (402 nucleotides) under uncultured bacterium. RNAcentral's name for it is "bacterial SSU rRNA". It matches the Rfam family "Bacterial small subunit ribosomal RNA", at positions 355 to 774 of the family's 1533-position model. The record is from RNAcentral.